This 366-nucleotide RNase P RNA is filed under the name Gammaproteobacteria bacterium. Its description in RNAcentral is "RNase P RNA component class A". It matches the Rfam family "Bacterial RNase P class A". Rfam says of the family: Ribonuclease P (RNase P) is a ubiquitous endoribonuclease, found in archaea, bacteria and eukarya as well as chloroplasts and mitochondria. Its best characterised activity is the generation of mature 5'-ends of tRNAs by cleaving the 5'-leader elements of precursor-tRNAs. Lineage: Bacteria; Pseudomonadati; Pseudomonadota; Gammaproteobacteria. The record is from RNAcentral.
AGAGUUAGUUAGACAAUCGCUAUAUUUUUUAUAGAGGAAAGUCCGGGCUCCAUCGGACAGGGUGCCAGGUAAUGCCUGGGAGGCGCGAGCCUACGGAAAGUACCACAGAAAAUAUACCGCCUUUAUAAUCGUUAGAUUGUAUAGGUAAGGGUGAAAAGGUGUGGUAAGAGCACACCGCGCGACUGGUGACAGUUCGUGGCAUGGUAAACCCCACCCGGAGCAAGACCAAAUAGGGGGGUAAGCAAGCAAAUUUUGCACCGUCAGUUCCGAGCGGACUCCCGGGUAGGUUGCUUGAGGUGAUUGGUGACAAUCAUCCUAGAUGAAUGGUUGUCCAAGACAGAACCCGGCUUAUUACUAACUCUGGCU